This 253-nucleotide ribosomal RNA is filed under the name uncultured bacterium. Its description in RNAcentral is "partial 16S ribosomal RNA". It matches the Rfam family "Bacterial small subunit ribosomal RNA", at positions 524 to 776 of the family's 1533-position model. The record is from RNAcentral.
UACGUAGGGGGCAAGCGUUGUCCGGAAUCAUUGGGCGUAAAGCGCGCGUAGGCGGCCCGGUAAGUCCGCUGUGAAAGUCCAGGGCUCAACCCUGGAAUGCCGGUGGAUACUGUCGGGCUCGAGUCCGGAAGAGGCGAGUGGAAUUCCUGGUGUAGCGGUGAAAUGCGCAGAUAUCGGGAGGAACACCUGCGGUGCAGACGGCUUACUGGACCGUAACUGACGCUGAGGCACGAAAGCGUGGGGAGCAAACGGG